GCUUAAAACCUAGCCCGACCCCAUCGCAACUUAUGUAACCAAACUUCUUUACUCAACACAAUAAAACAUUUUCAACAUCUAGUAAAGGCGAUUAAAAAAUGUCUAGGAGCCUUAGAAACAGUACCGCAAGGGAACAGUGAAAUAAAAAUGAAAUAACUUUAAAGCACCAAAAAGCAGAGAUCAGACCUCGUACCU
Molecule: ribosomal RNA, 195 nt
Filed under: Kaloula rigida (Luzon narrow-mouthed frog)
Lineage: Eukaryota; Metazoa; Chordata; Amphibia; Anura; Microhylidae
Description: partial 16S ribosomal RNA
Source: RNAcentral